RNAcentral lists this small RNA (191 nucleotides) under Oryza sativa Japonica Group (Japanese rice). RNAcentral's name for it is "misc RNA P0519E12.113". Lineage: Eukaryota; Viridiplantae; Streptophyta; Magnoliopsida; Poales; Poaceae. The record is from RNAcentral.
UUUUUUUUUGGUUAUGUUGAUUUAGAGGUUGAUGAUGUGCUUCCAAGAUGUUAGUUUGUAGCUUCUACUAUUGUACACCAAUAUGGCGAAAAGGAAAAUUGAUGCGGUUGAUGAGAGACUGAAAGUCUGAAAUUGUACACGAGGGGAAGAUUUUUCCCCAAAGAUGCAAUAUGCACAGAUCCUCUUGUUAG